RNAcentral lists this transfer RNA (73 nucleotides) under Candidatus Woesearchaeota archaeon. Its description in RNAcentral is "tRNA-Thr". It matches the Rfam family "tRNA". Rfam says of the family: Transfer RNA (tRNA) molecules are approximately 80 nucleotides in length. Their secondary structure includes four short double-helical elements and three loops (D, anti-codon, and T loops). The record is from RNAcentral. Lineage: Archaea; Nanobdellati; Candidatus Woesearchaeota.
GCCCCGGUAGCACAGUAGCUAGUGCGUCGCUCUCGUAAAGCGAAGGUCGAGGGUGCGAUUCCCUCUCGGGGCU